RNAcentral lists this transfer RNA (101 nucleotides) under Faecalibacterium prausnitzii. RNAcentral's name for it is "tRNA-Gln(ttg)". Lineage: Bacteria; Bacillati; Bacillota; Clostridia; Eubacteriales; Oscillospiraceae. The record is from RNAcentral.
CGAUCAUCAGGCCGUCGGCACCGGCGGCGACAGCGGCUUUGGCCAGCUGAGGCACCAUCCAUGCGUGGCCGCAGGCGUGGCUGGGGUCUACGAUGACGGGC